GUUCUUAGGUAAGCAGCACAUAGAUUAAAACUGAAAUGAUACAGAGAAGACUAGCACGAGGAUGAUAUACAAAUUCAUGAAGUGUUCCAUAUUUUU
This is a small nuclear RNA of Ictidomys tridecemlineatus (thirteen-lined ground squirrel), 96 nucleotides long. NCBI's taxonomy places the organism in Eukaryota, Metazoa, Chordata, Mammalia, Rodentia, Sciuridae. The record is from Ensembl.